RNAcentral lists this ribosomal RNA (978 nucleotides) under Triticum aestivum (bread wheat). RNAcentral's name for it is "partial small subunit ribosomal RNA". Lineage: Eukaryota; Viridiplantae; Streptophyta; Magnoliopsida; Poales; Poaceae. The record is from RNAcentral.
AUGUGGUGUGCAACGUAUAUUCACUGCAGUAGGCCCACGCGACAGAAGGCCCAGGCUCGAGCGCCCAGAACCAAUCCGCCAUGCCUCAUCAGAAAAAAUAAACGCACCAAUCCCCUCAGCGCAGAGCACGCCACCGCCUUGAUCUACCUCUCCCGGCCAUCUCCGGCGACGCCGACGGGAUCCUGUCGGCUCACCCUACCCAUUUCCCCAACUCACCUGGUCCACCGUCGCCGCCGCCAAAUCCCCCACACUCUCCCGUCCUCUUCUCCCGGGAUGCAAGCAGCUGCGAGGAGGGGCGUGGCGGCGGCGGCCGCCGCGUCGGCGUCGGCGUCCUUCCACUCCACCGCCGCGGCGCUCUCCAAAUCCACGCCUCGUAUCCGGUUCAACGUCCGGGAAAAGCGCACCGACGCGAAGAAUGCCCUCAAGAACGUUCUACUUAACGGCGGUCCCUCCCAGGAAAGAUGUAAUAAGCAAACGAGGCAGCAGAAAGCUGGUGGCAAAUCGAAAGUCCGCUCCGGUCCUGGAAGUAAUCCGUAUAGCAAAGGCAGAGGUGGGAUAGACUGGAGGAACUUUGAUGGUGAUGAUUCUAGUGAUAGCCCUUACGGGAGCUUUGGCGGCAAGACAUCUUUUACGUGGUACUGGCCCGGGGAGGAGGAUGAUGAUGACCUUCCUAAUGGGUUCCAAUGGAGGGAGGAGCCUCGACCGAACAAAUCAAGGGAAAAAGUUUGGAACGAGAGUGAUGUGGAUGAGGAAGAGGCCCCUCGUCGUGACGAUCUAAAAAGCCAUAGAAUAUCCCUUGGCUUGCCAGUUUUGGGUCCCUUAAAGCUUGAUCAUAUCAAGUCCGCUUUUCGCGCGUCAGCUCUCAAGUGGCACCCGGACAAGCACCAAGGAUCUUCACAGGCUGAAGCAGAGGAUAAGUUCAGGCGCUGCGUCGAAGCUUACAACGCCUUGUCUGGUGCUUUCAAACGGAGUAGCUAA